This 508-nucleotide ribosomal RNA is filed under the name Klebsiella pneumoniae. RNAcentral describes it as "bacterial SSU rRNA". It matches the Rfam family "Bacterial small subunit ribosomal RNA", at positions 1 to 500 of the family's 1533-position model. Lineage: Bacteria; Pseudomonadati; Pseudomonadota; Gammaproteobacteria; Enterobacterales; Enterobacteriaceae. The record is from RNAcentral.
AAAUUGAAGAGUUUGAUCAUGGCUCAGAUUGAACGCUGGCGGCAGGCCUAACACAUGCAAGUCGAGCGGUAGCACAGAGAGCUUGCUCUCGGGUGACGAGCGGCGGACGGGUGAGUAAUGUCUGGGAAACUGCCUGAUGGAGGGGGAUAACUACUGGAAACGGUAGCUAAUACCGCAUAACGUCGCAAGACCAAAGUGGGGGACCUUCGGGCCUCAUGCCAUCAGAUGUGCCCAGAUGGGAUUAGCUAGUAGGUGGGGUAACGGCUCACCUAGGCGACGAUCCCUAGCUGGUCUGAGAGGAUGACCAGCCACACUGGAACUGAGACACGGUCCAGACUCCUACGGGAGGCAGCAGUGGGGAAUAUUGCACAAUGGGCGCAAGCCUGAUGCAGCCAUGCCGCGUGUGUGAAGAAGGCCUUCGGGUUGUAAAGCACUUUCAGCGGGGAGGAAGGCGAUAAGGUUAAUAACCUUGUCGAUUGACGUUACCCGCAGAAGAAGCACCGGCUAA